Molecule: long non-coding RNA, 293 nt
Organism: Oncorhynchus tshawytscha (Chinook salmon)
Lineage: Eukaryota; Metazoa; Chordata; Actinopteri; Salmoniformes; Salmonidae
Source: Ensembl
CUAAUAGGCCGGUGACGACGACCGCCGAGCGCCACACGCCCGGGAAGGGAAACGACCCUCGGUCGGACUCGUGACACUGUGGGUAUCCUGCUAUUGAAACACUCGUUGAAUUUUGCAAGAGAACGUGACAACGACAGUAAUUAAUGAGGCAGCCUAGAGAGUGCAGAUGAGUGCAGAGAGCAGGUGGUGGAGACAUUCACCAUGUCUCGUCAACAUAGAGCUCCUUGGUUAAAGAAGGGACUUGAGCUGUCCAGAGGAGAAUUCAUUGAGAACAUUUGCCAUGUGAUGCAAAC